UACAGCCACAUCAGGCUGAAUCACUAGUUCCCGUAUGAUCACCAAAGUUAAGCAACAUCAAGCCUGGUUAUACCUCAAUAGGUGACCACUUGAGAAUACCAGGUGCUGUAAG
Acanthosepion pharaonis is the source of this 112-nucleotide non-coding RNA. The record is from the annotation of a GenBank genome assembly. NCBI's taxonomy places the organism in Eukaryota, Metazoa, Mollusca, Cephalopoda, Sepiida, Sepiidae.